UACGUAGGGGGCGAGCGUUGUCCGGAUUUAUUGGGCGUAAAGAGCUCGUAGGCGGUUUGGUAAGUUGGAUGUGAAAUCUCCAGGCUCAACUUGGAGGGGUCAUUCGAUACUGCCAUGACUAGAGUUCGGUAGGGGAGUGUGGAAUUCCUGGUGUAGCGGUGAAAUGCGCAGAUAUCAGGAGGAACACCGGUGGCGAAGGCGGGUCUCUGGGCCGAAACUGACGCUGAGGAGCGAAAGCGUGGGGAGCAAACAGG
Molecule: ribosomal RNA, 254 nt
Filed under: uncultured bacterium
Lineage: Bacteria
Description: partial 16S ribosomal RNA
Rfam family: Bacterial small subunit ribosomal RNA
Source: RNAcentral